AUACUUCUCUGUAGCUGUCUUCAUUAGUUUUUUUGUUUCUUUUCCUUUUUUUUUUUUUCUUUUUAAGAGAAAGUAGUCCCAAGAAGCAAAAUCCCAGUUAGGGUCCACCUGUGAGUUUCAGAUCUCAGGAUCCAGCCUGCGCCAUUAAGAGGGUGUGAUUUCAACCGGGAAACGCGAUGUCAGUUAUUCCCAAAGAUUCUGGAGCUGGGUGUGCAGCUGAGGAGCUGUGGGGAACUGUACCAGACGACACUGUGACUCCACAAGUACAGAACUGCAACUGAGGACCUGCAGCACAGCACCCAGAAUUCUACUGGGAGUCCUCUGCACCCCGUCAUCAGUUCCAGAGAGAGCACCCAGCCUUGGGCAUCAAUCCCACCCCUCAAAAGCCAUAUGAGCUCCCAAGGAGGGAACUGGAGAGCGAUGGAAAUCUGCCUGUCCAGAGGUUGCAGAAGGCACUGAGGCAGUUCAAUAGGAUUUGUGAUUUAAUUAAUUGUUACUGAUGAGAUGGGUGAAUUUUGAGAGUGCGGUAACUGAGAUUUGGAUGACUACAAUUACACCAGAUUGAAGGAAGGGCUUGAGCAUACUGCCUGCACCCAGGACAUGGGGUCUGUACGUGAACAGUGACAGCAGCAUGUGUGCAGCAGCCAGCUGGAGCACCUGAGGACCAUAAAACCGGGGAACAAACGCCGAUACUUCAUUCAGCUGGCAAACCAAAGGAGAGUCAUUUAACUCCCGUUCUAGAGCCUAGUUGCUUUGUUACUCCGUAAAAAGCUUCAAGAUGAAUUAUUAAUCCCAGCUCAUAUUGACAACAAGCACAUAAUUUCAUUUCCUGCUGUAUGACAGAGUUCAAAACCAAACACAUCUCAAUUUCUCUUAAGAAAUUCGAAUUAAUGGUUCUUGAAUGGCUCUUGUGAGACUAACACUUCCUGAUGCUUUAGCAGAGCUUGGAUAUUAGUCUGGGCUUUGGAGCUGGCCUCACCUCUACAGGGGGACAAUCCACCAUCCCAAACCUUGCCAUGUGCAGGGACUGUCCAGCUCUACAUCUGAAUUAAAUUUUGUGAUUUGUAAAAUUCUUCCUUAGCAGAAACACCAAGUAGUAAUUGUGCAGUUCACGUCAGCAGAGGAGGUACAAUAGUUUUGGACAGCCCGAAGGAUCACAGCUCACUGUGAGGAAGGGAAUUUCUGCAGCUGUCAUGAAGUAAACUGGCUACCAGUUACUGCUAUGGUGGUGAAGGACUUCAGCUGGUAUAGAGAACCAGAGGAAUUUAUUUUUCAUUGUAGAUCAAGAGACGUUCGGUACUCCCUCCUGGGGAAAAUCCAAAGUCAUGCUGGAAACAAUGGCACAGGGAACUGGAUUUUUUUUUAUACUCUUCUGUGUUUUCAUUUCUAAGCUCUCUACUCUGAAAAAAAAUGAAGAAAAUUCCAUGUACAGCACCCCUACACUGAAAGUCGAUUUCCUAAAAGUGAUUGCUUAUUUUUAGCUGUACAUACCAACUGUUUCUGUUUACUAUACAGCUUUUGUUUUGCUAUACACCAUAUUUAUCUUUUUCAUUCUUCUUCUCCACAACAUGUGCUAAUUCACUCUGUUUCAUUCUAUCAUUUAAACCUGCACUCCUCGCUUGGUGUCCAAAGUGCUCAUUUCUCCAAUAUCAACACUGGUAGCUCUCAGUUUGGUCACACGCUACCUUCAGAGAUGCACUGGAAAAAAUUAAGCAUGCAGAAGUAACACCUUCACUUUCCUGCAUGGUAGCAGUAGUUAAGGGCAAUUUUUCCCAGACUUGCUUUGGUGUGGUGCUAUUCCUGAGGCAUUAAGCAUCUUUGUUCUUCUCUAAAACUUCUGGAAACUGCAAGGGCUUACAGCUCUCCCUAAUGUCAGUGGGAUGCCUGGUGCUGCAGUGCUGUUGUGUGUCACUUGUCGCUCUAACCCACCUGGAAUCCAAAUCACAGCCCUACGGUUUCCCUCCUGAAGGAGUCUUAGUUCCUGUUCUUCCAUCGAUCUUGCUUCCCCUUGCUCCUGCAGCUGCAUAGUCAAAACUGUUUGUACGGUCCCAGUGAGUAAUUCUUGUGUGGCUUUCCAGACUCUGGUGGAUGUGUCCAUGAGGAACAUGCUUUCAGAAAAUACAUAUCGAUUGCUGGUUUCCUGCAAAAUGCACUUGCAUCACAGAACACCAAAAAUGCACCUGCACCUUCAGGCCCUAGAAGACAUGCGUGCGUGGGUGUCACAAUACCCACUGUCACAGUGUUUUGAAAAAACAGCACAUUUAAAAAAAAAGAAGACUGGCAGGAGGAUUGUAUAACUUCAGACACAGCCAAGUGGCAGCCCUAUAAGAAACAGCCUAUCACAUAAAAUGUGCUCAUUACCCACUCUGUUACUUUAUGCUACUUGUGAGUGAUGGAGACACCUGGCUACUCUCAGAUAAGUCCCAUUGUCCUUCCUCUUGUCAUCACGACACAUUCCUCUUGCAUUCAUCGGGGAUGGUAUUUCUGUCACGUCUGGGAAGGUAUUUAGAUGAGAGACCCAGCAGUGCAUAACAUCCAAUUGCAUUCUGUGCUGCUUGUAUAGAACAUUCUGAUCUUCCCAAAUUGAAACAGCCCACAAUGCGUGGACAUUUCAUUGUGCCUUUGGAUUUUGUUUGCAUUUUCAGUAAAACAUAGUGUCUCCCAUAAUCCGCUACUGACAACGGUCUGGCAUGAAAAAAAAAAUCAGUAUCAAAAUGGCUUCAGGGUACCCCUAUAAAAUAUGUGUAUUGAAGUCUGAAAUAGCUUAGCGACAAAAAAUACCAACUAAACAAAAACCACACAACAAAAUUAUUUCAGAAAAAUUCUUCUGUGAGUCAGGAAUCCCUCAAAGCUCUGUGCAUGUUUUACUCUUUGCUUGCCUUGCUCUGCCUUCCACAGAUACGCAGUGGUUUCACCCAUGUGUCUGUGGUACUUAACGAACUAGCGAGCCCAAAUCCCAUACCAGGGAGACAUGACCAAGGGCAGGAACAGCUUUGCCUUCUCCUUCCUCUGACUUCACAGCAGAAAUUCAU
Long non-coding RNA from Cygnus olor (mute swan), 3032 nucleotides. RefSeq lists it as uncharacterized. NCBI's taxonomy places the organism in Eukaryota, Metazoa, Chordata, Aves, Anseriformes, Anatidae. The record is from RefSeq and is a predicted model, not a curated record. The transcript is spliced from 3 exons.